Molecule: ribosomal RNA, 274 nt
Filed under: uncultured bacterium
Lineage: Bacteria
Description: partial 16S ribosomal RNA
Rfam family: Bacterial small subunit ribosomal RNA
Source: RNAcentral
AUACGGAGGGUGCAAGCGUUAUCCGGAAUCAUUGGGUUUAAAGGGUCAGUAGGCGGACUAUUAAGUCAGAGGUGAAAUCCCACAGCUCAACUGUGGAACUGCCUUUGAUACUGGUAGUCUUGAGUUAUAUGGAAGUAGAUAGAAUGUGUAGUGUAGCGGUGAAAUGCAUAGAUAUUACACAGAAUACCGAUUGCGAAGGCAGUCUACUACGUAUAUACUGACGCUAAGGGACGAAAGCGUGGGGAGCGAACAGGAUUAGAAACCCCAGUAGUCC